This 484-nucleotide ribosomal RNA is filed under the name uncultured bacterium. Its description in RNAcentral is "partial 16S ribosomal RNA". It matches the Rfam family "Bacterial small subunit ribosomal RNA", at positions 30 to 507 of the family's 1533-position model. The record is from RNAcentral.
AUUGAACGCUGGCGGCAGGCCUAACACAUGCAAGUCGAGCGGAUGAAGGGAGCUUGCUCCUGGAUUCAGCGGCGGACGGGUGAGUAAUGCCUAGGAAUCUGCCUGGUAGUGGGGUAUAACGUCCGGAAACGGGCGCUGAUACCGCAUACGUCCUGAGGGAGAAAGUGGGGGAUCUUCGGACCUCACGCUAUCAGAUGAGCCUAGGUCGGAUUAGCUAGUUGGUGGGGUAAAGGCCUACCAAGGCGACGAUCCGUAACUGGUCUGAGAGGAUGAUCAGUCACACUGGAACUGAGACACGGUCCAGACGCCUAAGGGAGGCAGCAGUGGGGAAUAUUGGACAAUGGGCGAAAGCCUGAUCCAGCCAUGCCGCGUGUGUGAAGAAGGUCUUCGGAUUGUAAAGAACUUUAAGUUGGGAGGAAGGGCAGUAAGUUAAUACCUUGCUGUUUUGACGUUACCAACAGAAUAAGCACCGGCUAACUUCGUG